RNAcentral lists this ribosomal RNA (497 nucleotides) under uncultured bacterium. RNAcentral's name for it is "partial 16S ribosomal RNA". It matches the Rfam family "Bacterial small subunit ribosomal RNA", at positions 28 to 507 of the family's 1533-position model. The record is from RNAcentral.
GAUGAACGCUGGCGGCGUGCCUAAUACAUGCAAGUCGAGCGAACGGACGAGAAGCUUGCUUCUCUGAUGUUAGCGGCGGACGGGUGAGUAACACGUGGAUAACCUACCUAUCAGACUGGGAUAACUUCGGGAAACCGGAGCUAAUACCGGAUGAUAUUUUGAACCGCAUGGUUCAAAAGUGAAAGACGGUCUUGCCGUCACUUAUAGAUGGAUCCGCGCUGCAUUAGCUAGUUGGUAAGGUAACGGCUUACCAAGGCAACGAUGCAUAGCCGACCUGAGAGGGUGAUCAGCCACACUAGAACGGAGACACGGUCCAGACUCCUACGGGAGGCAGCAGUAGGGAAUCUUCCGCAAUGGGCGAAAGCCUGACGGAGCAACGCCGCGUGAGGGAUAAAGGUCUUCGGAUCGUAAAACUCUGUUAUUAGGGAAGAACAUAUGUGUAAGUAACUGUGCACAUCUAGACGGUACCUAAUCAGAAAGCCACGGCUAACUACGUG